UUCCUACGGGAGGCAGCAGGCACUAAUCCUUCACAAUGCACGAAAGUGCGAUGGGGGGACUCCGAGUGCGUUCUUCCCACAAGGAAGGACGCUUUUCUGCACUCUAAGACGGUGCAGGAACAAGGGGCGGGCAAUACUGCUGCCAGCCGCCGCGGUAAUAGCAGAACCCCGAGUGGUGGUCGCUAUUAUUGGGCUUAAAGCGUUCGUAGCCGGCCGUGCAAGUCCGCUGUGAAAUCCACGCGCUUAACGUGUGGGCGUGCAGCGGAUACUGCACGGCUAGGGACCGGACGGCGCUGGAGCUAUUCCCGGGGUAGGAGUGAAAUCCUAAAAUCCCGGGAGGAGCGCCUGUGGCGAAAGCGUCCAGCGAGUACGGAUCCGACGGUGAGGAACGAAAGCCAGGGGAGCAAAGCGGAUUAGAUACCCGCGUAGUCCUGGCCGUAAACAUUGCGCGUUUGAUGUCGGGCAACCCUCGUGGUUGUCCGGUGCCGAAGUGAAAACGUUAAACGCGCCGCCUGGGGAGUACGGUCGCAAGGCUGAAACUCAAAGGAAU
RNAcentral lists this ribosomal RNA (550 nucleotides) under uncultured Halobacteriales archaeon. RNAcentral's name for it is "bacterial SSU rRNA". It matches the Rfam family "Archaeal small subunit ribosomal RNA", at positions 319 to 865 of the family's 1478-position model. The record is from RNAcentral. Lineage: Archaea; Methanobacteriati; Methanobacteriota; Halobacteria; Halobacteriales.